RNAcentral lists this long non-coding RNA (852 nucleotides) under Homo sapiens (human). RNAcentral's name for it is "HSALNT0157904". The record is from RNAcentral. Lineage: Eukaryota; Metazoa; Chordata; Mammalia; Primates; Hominidae.
GGCUCCAACAUCCCAGGGAAUUGUGUCACUCCCAUUGAGCAGCUGUGGGGCCCUCUCCCACAUGGCCCAGGUCCACCACUCUGUCAAAGGUCGCACAGCCCAGACAAAAACAGGACACAGCAGUGUGUGAAUGAGCCGGGCUUUCUCCUUCCCUCCACGUAAUAGAAGGUGCCUGAGGUUGUUGAAACACAGUCCAUUUCUCCUGGGAAUGACAAGAAUUUGAGGGAUGCUGACUUUCAAGGAAUACUGCAUGACAGGCAUCAAGAUAAACCUGAUGAAGAAAACAUAGGCCAGAAUCUGGGAAUCGGGAGCAAAGUAAUACAGCUUCGGGGACAGGCACGUAAUGAGGUCAUGAUGUAGGAGACUCCCUGCAGGACUGGCGGCCCCUGUUCCCUGGGUUGUUCUGGCUCUUUCAGGACCUGACCCUGGAACAGGACUGAGCAGGUGCCUGUGUGCACAGAAGACCUUGUGUGAGUCCUUUGGUACCACGUUUGCUGCACGAAUGUCUGAGACACCUCACAGUCGCUUGGUUCAGCCUCUCCCUCCUCUCUCCGCUGGGGAACAUCAUCCCUCAUCACUGGAAGAAAUUACAAGGAUUGUGUAAACAAUUACAAGUAUUCUACAAACAGUGAGGUAAAAUAAUUAUUUAGUUCCAAUCAUCUUUGUACACAAAGAUUUAUAUGUUAACAAGCUGAAUUCCUGCUUCAUCUGGAGGACUGCACAGUGUAUCUGAGAGAGGAUUUUCAGGAGGCCAGAAAAUCAAGCUGGAGGGAUUUUCAGCGUGUUGGGAGAUUGCUACCUGUUUUAAGUCAGGCCAUUGCCACGUCUUUUUCCCCACCUUGGAGACUUCAG